AAAAAAACCAGGUGGAAAACGGAGUCCUUUUCGUCGCACUAAACGUUAAGGGCCGAGGCAACAACUUGAGAGAGAAAGGUGGUGGAAGCGAUACCAGUGACAGCAGGUUACCUCAACUUGAUUGUGCAACUGAAGCACCAUCUGCGCACAAGACUCGGAGAUAUCUGAAAUUCGCUCCGGCAACUUCGCCGCCGGUCCGGUCGUACAGUCUCCAGCAAUUCUCGAAAAAUGCCAGAAUCUUCUGCCUGCAACAGUCCACAUCCACACAAAGAAUUGAGAUUCAUCGAGAGAGUUCAGACAAAAAUAGGUACCGGUUUUUUGAGCAGAGUAAACGGCAAGGAGCGUGAUGGAGUCGCU
Molecule: long non-coding RNA, 357 nt
Organism: Vigna angularis (adzuki bean)
Lineage: Eukaryota; Viridiplantae; Streptophyta; Magnoliopsida; Fabales; Fabaceae
Exons: 3
Source: RefSeq, a predicted model, not a curated record